GAUGAACGCUAGCGGCAGGCUUAACACAUGCAAGUCGAGGGGUAACAGCAGAGCUUGCUCUGGCUGACGACCGGCGCACGGGUGCGUAACGCGUAUACAAUUUGCCUUUUACUGGAGGAUAGCCCGGAGAAAUCCGGAUUAAUACUCCAUAGUAUUAUUAUCUCGCAUGGGAUUGUAAUUAAAGCUUCGGUGGUAAGAGAUGAGUAUGCGUCCUAUUAGUUAGUUGGUAAGGUAACGGCUUACCAAGACUACGAUAGGUAGGGGGCCUGAGAGGGUUAUCCCCCACACCGGUACUGAGACACGGACCAG
RNAcentral lists this ribosomal RNA (309 nucleotides) under uncultured bacterium. RNAcentral describes it as "bacterial SSU rRNA". It matches the Rfam family "Bacterial small subunit ribosomal RNA", at positions 28 to 334 of the family's 1533-position model. The record is from RNAcentral.